GAUGAAGAACGCAGCGAAAUGCGAUAAGUAAUGUGAAUUGCAGAAUUCAGUGAAUCAUCGAAUCUUUGAACGCACAUUGCGCCCGCCAGUAUUCUGGCGGGCAUGCCUGUUCGAGCGUCAUUACAACCCUCAGGCCCCCGGGCCUGGCGUUGGGGAUCGGCGGAGCCCCCCGUGGGCACACGCCGUCCCCCAAAUACAGUGGCGGUCCCGCCGCAGCUUCCAUCGCGUAGUAGCUAACACCUCGCGACUGGAGAGCGGCGCGGCCACGCCGUAAAACACCCGACUCUUCUGAAGUUGACCUCGAAUCAGGUAGGAAUACCCGCUGAACUUAAGCAUAUCAAUAAGCGGAGGA
Molecule: unclassified non-coding RNA, 352 nt
Filed under: soil metagenome
Description: partial contains 5.8S ribosomal RNA, internal transcribed spacer 2, and large subunit ribosomal RNA
Rfam family: 5.8S ribosomal RNA (bases 1-120)
Source: RNAcentral